GACGAACGCUGGCGGCGUGCUUAACACAUGCAAGUCGAACGGAAAGGCCCUGCUUUUGUGGGGUGCUCGAGUGGCGAACGGGUGAGUAACACGUGAGUAACCUGCCCUUGACUUUGGGAUAACUUCAGGAAACUGGGGCUAAUACCGGAUAGGAGCUCCUGCUGCAUGGUGGGGGUUGGAAAGUUUCGGCGGUUGGGGAUGGACUCGCGGCUUAUCAGCUUGUUGGUGGGGUAGUGGCUUACCAAGGCUUUGACGGGUAGCCGGCCUGAGAGGGUGACCGGCCACAUUGGGACUGAGAUACGGCCCAGACUCCUACGGGAGGCAGCAGUGGGGAAUAUUGCACAAUGGGCGGAAGCCUGAUGAAGCAACGCCGCGUGCGGGAUGACGGCCUUCGGGUUGUAAAACGCUUUCGCCUGUGACGAAGCGUGAGUGACGGUAAUGGGUAAAGAAGCACCGGCUAACUACGUG
Molecule: ribosomal RNA, 468 nt
Filed under: uncultured bacterium
Lineage: Bacteria
Description: partial 16S ribosomal RNA
Rfam family: Bacterial small subunit ribosomal RNA
Source: RNAcentral